ACGGGAGGCAGCAGUGGGGGAUAUUGCACAAUGGGGGAAACCCUGAUGCAGCGACGCCGCGUGAGUGAAGAAGUAUUUCGGUAUGUAAAGCUCUAUCAGCAGGAAAGAUAAUGACGGUACCUGACUAAGAAGCACCGGCUAAAUACGUGCCAGUAGCCGCGGUAAUACGUAUGGUGCAAGCGUCAUCCGGAUUUACUGGGUGUAAAGGGAGCGCAGACGGCAUGGCAAGCCAGAUGUGAAAGGUGGGGGCUCAACCCCCAAGCUGCAUUUGGAACUGUCAAGCUAGAGUAUCGGAGAGGUAAGUGGAAUUCCUAGUGUAGCGGUGAAAUGCGUAGAUAUAAGGAAGAACACCAGUGGCGAAGGCGAUCUACUGGACAGUAACUGACGCUGAGGCGCGAAAGCGUGGGGAGCAAACAGGAUUAGAUACCCUGGUA
This 434-nucleotide ribosomal RNA is filed under the name uncultured Lachnospiraceae bacterium. RNAcentral describes it as "partial 16S ribosomal RNA". It matches the Rfam family "Bacterial small subunit ribosomal RNA", at positions 341 to 792 of the family's 1533-position model. Lineage: Bacteria; Bacillati; Bacillota; Clostridia; Lachnospirales; Lachnospiraceae. The record is from RNAcentral.